Molecule: long non-coding RNA, 779 nt
Organism: Helianthus annuus (common sunflower)
Lineage: Eukaryota; Viridiplantae; Streptophyta; Magnoliopsida; Asterales; Asteraceae
Exons: 3
Source: RefSeq, a predicted model, not a curated record
GAGCCAUGGAGGAGCAUGGCUGCGCCAACUGAUUCCGGUGUGUCAACAACUCCAACCAACGAAACAACGACUGAGAGAGAGAGAGAGAGAGAGAGAGAGAGAGAGAGAGUUGUGAGGGAGUGGCAGCUGAACACCGCCCCCAGUGGUGGAGCGAUGGAGGAGCACGGCAAUGCCACCUGAUUCCAGCGCGUCAACGGCCCCAACCACGGAACAACGGCUAAGGGUUUCAGAGAGAGAAAGGGGCUGUGUAGACGGUGGCAAUGACGACAGUUAGCAUUCCGACCAGAUUUCGAUCUAAAGAGCAGUACUGGCAAGGAGAACUAGGUGAAGAUCCGGUGAGCAGAUUGAAGCCUGUACGAGAGUUCUUCAAGUGAAUCGACAACACUCUAGGCCGACUCUACAUAUAAGAAAAAGUGAAUAGGAGUAGGGCACCGUUGGAAUUAGGGAUGGUUAUGUCAAAUUGGUGGCUACUUGUGAAAUUCCGGUUACACCCGUUUGGAACGCCAAUAGAGGUGUAGUGUCCACAGGUCUGAGGUAAAGCAUGGUGAAGAUUUGAAGUUCUUGAGGUCUGUCUCGGUAAUGGUUGAUGAGAGUCAAGAAUAGGUCAACUCGGUCAACACAGAAACUCAGGUCAUAACCCAGUCAAACGAUGGAAGUUCCAGUGGCCACUUCUAUAUUUUGAAAUCUGGCUUUUUAACAUAGGUUUGGGUUGCAGUUGCCUUUUAUAUCUUCAAAUGCUUAUAAACAAUCAUUUAGAGUUCUUGAAAUGUGAAUUGUCA